RNAcentral lists this ribosomal RNA (443 nucleotides) under Pycnococcus provasolii. RNAcentral's name for it is "partial Bacterial small subunit ribosomal RNA". It matches the Rfam family "Bacterial small subunit ribosomal RNA", at positions 1053 to 1503 of the family's 1533-position model. The record is from RNAcentral. Lineage: Eukaryota; Viridiplantae; Chlorophyta; Pseudoscourfieldiophyceae; Pseudoscourfieldiales; Pycnococcaceae.
CGUCAGCUCGUGUCGUGAGAUGUCGGGUUAAGUCCCUUAACGAGCGAAACCUUUGCCCUUAGUUACCAUCGGGUCAUGCCGGGGACUCUAAGGGGACUGCCGGUGUCAAACCGGAGGAAGGUGGAGAUGACGUCAAGUCCUCAUGGCCUUUAUGCCCAGGGCCACACACGUGCUACAAUGGCGUCGACAAAGCGACCCGAGAGCGCAAGCUGGAGGAAAUCGCAGAAAUGACGCCCCAGUUCAGAUUGGAGGCUGCAACCCGCCUCCAUGAAGUUGGAAUCGCUAGUAAUCGCGGGUCAGCUAUACCGCGGUGAAUACGUUCCUGGGCCUUGUACACACCGCCCGUCAAGCCAUGGAAGCUGGGUGUACCUAAAGUCGGUAACCGCAAGGAGCCGCCUAGGGUAAAACUAGUGACUGGGGCUAAGUCGUAACAAGGUAGCCGU